RNAcentral lists this transfer RNA (65 nucleotides) under Eubacterium sp. RNAcentral describes it as "tRNA-Val". It matches the Rfam family "tRNA", at positions 9 to 71 of the family's 71-position model. Rfam says of the family: Transfer RNA (tRNA) molecules are approximately 80 nucleotides in length. Lineage: Bacteria; Bacillati; Bacillota; Clostridia; Eubacteriales; Eubacteriaceae. The record is from RNAcentral. RNAcentral also lists the same sequence under 4 other names.
AGCUCAGCUGGGAGAGCAUCUGCCUUACAAGCAGAGGGUCAUAGGUUCGAGCCCUAUAGGCCCCA